UACGGGAGGCAGCAGUGGGGAAUAUUGGACAAUGGACCAAAAGUCUGAUCCAGCAAUUCUGUGUGCACGAUGACGUUUUUCGGAAUGUAAAGUGCUUUCAGUCGGGAAGAAGCAAGUGACGGUACCGACAGAAGAAGCGACGGCUAAAUACGUGCCAGCAGCCGCGGUAAUACGUAUGUCGCAAGCGUUAUCCGGAUUUAUUGGGCGUAAAGCGCGUCUAGGCGGCAAGGAAAGUCUGAUGUGAAAAUGCGGGGCUCAACUCCGUAUUGCGUUGGAAACUGCCUUACUAGAGUACUGGAGAGGUAGGCGGAACUACAAGUGUAGAGGUGAAAUUCGUAGAUAUUUGUAGGAAUGCCGAUGGGGAAGCCAGCCUACUGGACAGAUACUGACGCUAAAGCGCGAAAGCGUGGGUAGCAAACAGGAUUAGAUACCCUGGUAGUCCACGCUGUAAACGAUGAUUACUAGGUGUUGGGGGUCAAACCUCAGCGCCCAAGCUAACGCGAUAAGUAAUCCGCCUGGG
This 520-nucleotide ribosomal RNA is filed under the name uncultured bacterium. Its description in RNAcentral is "bacterial SSU rRNA". It matches the Rfam family "Bacterial small subunit ribosomal RNA", at positions 340 to 877 of the family's 1533-position model. The record is from RNAcentral.